This 70-nucleotide transfer RNA is filed under the name Thyrsites atun (snoek). RNAcentral describes it as "tRNA-Met". It matches the Rfam family "tRNA". From Rfam's summary of the family: Transfer RNA (tRNA) molecules are approximately 80 nucleotides in length. Their secondary structure includes four short double-helical elements and three loops (D, anti-codon, and T loops). Further hydrogen bonds mediate the characteristic L-shaped molecular structure. tRNAs have two regions of fundamental functional importance: the anti-codon, which is responsible for specific mRNA codon recognition, and the 3' end, to which the tRNAs corresponding amino acid is attached (by aminoacyl-tRNA synthetases). tRNAs cope with the degeneracy of the genetic code in two manners: having more than one tRNA (with a specific anti-codon) for a particular amino acid; and 'wobble' base-pairing, i.e. permitting non-standard base-pairing at the 3rd anti-codon position. The record is from RNAcentral. Lineage: Eukaryota; Metazoa; Chordata; Actinopteri; Scombriformes; Gempylidae.
AGUAAAAUCAGCUAAGAAAGCUUAUGGGCCCAUAACCCAUCUAAUGUUGGUUCAAAUCCUUCUUUUACUA